AGAGGGAGAGAACUUCACUUGGCCUCAGGAUGUGGAGGAGAAAAGUGUGGAGAUUCUGGACUCUAGAAUCAAGGAGGGACCCUUGACAAAACUCCUGGAAGUUUUGUCCAAUUCCUUCACUUCUCUUCCUAAAGACCAAGAACUUUUGCUUAUCCUGACUCUGGUUGAUCCUGAAGUCUCCAGGGAGCUAGCCCGGAUUUACAUUUUGGUGCCCAACGUGUGAACCAUGGACCCUAAUUUUACUGAAGAAUCCCAGGUGACCAGGAAAUAGGAUGAGUAAACAGAGGCUUAAACAAUUUGAUUAUGGACACAGAUCUAAUCAUCAACAGAACCUGGAUGCUUUUUAGAAAAGGAGUACAAUAGUUGUUUUCUUUCAAUAGCUUGAAGCUGGACACCAGGAGAAGGUGAAGUGACUUAACACUCAAACAAGAUUUGAAGUUUGACCAGUUUCAAAGAAGAAUGACCUUGAAGAGAACAGAAGGGGAACUGGUAAAGACCUUAGCUCUCUCAAAUGUCACCAAUUUUGCUCAGUCUGUAACACAGGGCAGAGACUUGAUCUUCACCAAAGAGGAGAGUAUCGCAUGCCAAUGGACUUUGGGUAGCAGUUACAAAUACAUACAUAUGUAUAUACAUUAAGUACAAAGAAAUUAUUUGCUAUAACCGACAGUGUCAGGAAGACCUAGAUUAAAUUAUGUCUUUAAUACAAACCUCUCUGAGCUUCAGUUUCCUUAUAUAUAAAAUGGGAAUAAUAAUACUAGUAGUCCUUGCCUCACAUGUUGUGAAGGUAAAAUGCUUGUCACACGGGUUUUGUGAUCUUUAAAGUGUGUUAUAGACUGUCCCCAAAAACUUAGUGCAAUUUAAAGCCUCCAAGUUAAGUCUUUCCUUUUCUUCUUCUUCAUCAUCAUCAUCAUCAUCAUCAA
Sarcophilus harrisii (Tasmanian devil) is the source of this 920-nucleotide long non-coding RNA. RefSeq lists it as uncharacterized. Lineage: Eukaryota; Metazoa; Chordata; Mammalia; Dasyuromorphia; Dasyuridae. The record is from RefSeq and is a predicted model, not a curated record. The transcript is spliced from 3 exons.